GUUGAUUGUUGUGACAAUGAUGCUGCUGGGGAAGCAAACAGUUUUUGACUGUGCAAGAAUUUAUGUUUACGGUUUUUAUUUUGUGGUUUAUGUUCUGCGUUUUGUCAAAGUCAACUUAUUGGAAGUGAUGGACAAUUCAACAGAAAUGAUUGCAAUUCACUGACUCAGCACCUGCGUCACCAAUUCCUCCUAUCUUCAGAAAGGGUGUACACCACGGUAUGCCAUGGUCAGAGUGGGUGUAAAUGUCUGGAACUUUUUCCUUUCAAGUUUUGGUUUGAUAGAUCACAUAUUUGGUGGAGAAAAGUGUGUGCGCACAAAAUGGGGGGAAAAAGGUGUAAAAAAAAAAAAAAAAAAAAAAAAGGUGUAUUCACAAUGAUAAAUGAGGCCCCAGAACGCAAGGCCACGUUUGGUGCCAUGUAAAUCAAGAUAUGCGACGUUAUUUGGCCAUGGUGAUCGCUGCUUGCUGUUGGUUUGCAGGACUUCUGUUUUCUGCUGAUGUUGUUUUUUAUCUAUGUAUACUGUCUUGGUUCGUCAUGUCAGAGGUAGUGAGUUUUGGAGUAUAGACAUUUGUUUGUUUUUGCAUCUUCAGCACCAAGGACAGCGCUUAAAGUGAUUUUGUUAUAACCGCUGCCUGUAACAGGCUCGGGGACAUCUUCAGCACCAAGGACAGCGCUCAAACUACGGUAGUUCUUUUCUGCUUUUGUCAUGUGGUGAAUUCUACUGUUGGCCUCCUUAUGGAAAAAAAAUUAAUAAAAUUUGCAUUUGUUAGAACUUAGUGGCGAUGUGUGAUGCGCUAUACAGCAGGAAAAAAAAUACAAUGAUAUCACUCAUUCAUUCAUUCAGUUGGCAGCCCCCGCUACUUAAAACAUCUUCCCGUGUGUGGGGAAUACCACGAUGUGUUUUCCAAAUAAGGGCAUGUACGUCACAUAUAGCAGAUGAUGUGAUUUCCCGUUGAUGAGAUAAACGCAACUGUCCUCACAGUCCGCCAUAGAGACAUUGCAGCUGUUCAGUGGUACCGCUGCUCUGUGUUUACUGAAAGGGGGAAGUUGCCUGGUCCCCCCUGAAAUGUAACUUUACUGCGGUCAGAUUUUUGGGAGGUCGAACUAAUGGGUAGUCGAACCACUGAGUGGUCAGACUGACGCCAUGCACCCAUUGGGUAGCUUCUUAAACUAGCCUACACAAUUCAAUUCAAUUUUCAAUUCAAUUUUAUGUAGAAAGCCCAAUAUCACAAAUCACAAUUUGCCUCACAGGGCUUUACAGCAUACAACAUCCCUCUGUCCUUAUGACCCUCACAGCUGAUCAGGAAAACAAUAGUAGAAACCUCAGGAAGAGCAACUGAGGAGGGAUCCCUCUUCCAGGACGGACAGACGUGCAAUAGAUGUCGUACAGAACAGAUCAGCAUAAUAAAUUAACAGUAAUCCGCAUGACACAAUGAGACAGAGAGAGAGAGAGAGAGAGAGAGAGAGAGAGAGAGGG
This is a long non-coding RNA of Epinephelus moara (kelp grouper), 1476 nucleotides long. RefSeq lists it as uncharacterized. The record is from RefSeq and is a predicted model, not a curated record. The transcript has 3 exons. NCBI's taxonomy places the organism in Eukaryota, Metazoa, Chordata, Actinopteri, Perciformes, Serranidae.